Molecule: ribosomal RNA, 301 nt
Filed under: uncultured bacterium
Lineage: Bacteria
Description: partial 16S ribosomal RNA
Rfam family: Bacterial small subunit ribosomal RNA
Source: RNAcentral
CAGCAGCCACGGGAAUACGAAGGGGGCUAGCAUUGUUCGGAAUUACUGGGCGUAAAGCGCACGCAGGCGGCUCGAUAAAUUAGAAGUGAAAGCCUUGGGCUUAACCUGAGAAUUGCUUUUAAGACUGUCGAGCUAGAAUCCAGAAGAGGGUAGUGGAAUUCCGAGUGUAGAGGUGAAAUUCGUAGAUAUUCGGAAGAACACCAGUGGCGAAGGCGACUACCUGGUCUGGCAUUGACGCUCUUGUGCGAAAGCGUGGGGAGCAAACAGGAUUAGAGACCCCUGUAGUCCCUGUCUCUUAUAC